CCUACGGGUGACAGCAGUGGGGGAUAUUGCACAAUGGGGGAAACCCUGAUGCAGCGACGCCGCGUGUGGGAAGACGGUCCUCUGGAUUGUAAACCACUGUCCUCAGGGACGAAGAUGAUGGUAGUUGGGGAGGAAGCUUCGGCAAACUACGUGCAGGCAGCCGCGGAAAUAUGAAGGGAGAGAGCGUUGUCCGGAAUUACGGGGGGAAAGGGGAGCGUAGGCGGGGAUGCAAGUUGGGUGUCAAAACUACGGUCUAAACGGGUGAGCGCACUUGAAACUGGAGCUCUUGAGUGAAGUAGAGGAGGGCGGAAUUCCUUGUGUAGCGGUGAAAUGCGUAGAUAUUAGGAAGAACACCAGUGGCGAAGGCGGCCUGCUGGGCUUUUACUGACGCUGAGGCUCGAAAGUGUGGGGAGCAAACAGGAUUAGAUACCCUUGUAGUC
This 440-nucleotide ribosomal RNA is filed under the name uncultured bacterium. RNAcentral describes it as "partial 16S ribosomal RNA". It matches the Rfam family "Bacterial small subunit ribosomal RNA", at positions 338 to 795 of the family's 1533-position model. The record is from RNAcentral.